This 654-nucleotide ribosomal RNA is filed under the name uncultured bacterium. RNAcentral's name for it is "bacterial SSU rRNA". It matches the Rfam family "Bacterial small subunit ribosomal RNA", at positions 139 to 788 of the family's 1533-position model. The record is from RNAcentral.
GGGGAUAACUACUGGAAACGGUAGCUAAUACCGCAUAACGUCGCAAGGCCAAAGAGGGGGACCUUCGGGCCUCUUGCCAUCGGAUGUGCCCAGAUGGGAUUAGCUUGUUGGUGGGGUAACGGCUCACCAAGGCGACGAUCCCUAGCUGGUCUGAGAGGAUGACCAGCCACACUGGAACUGAGACACGGUCCAGACUCCUACGGGAGGCAGCAGUGGGGAAUAUUGCACAAUGGGCGCAAGCCUGAUGCAGCCAUGCCGCGUGUAUGAAGAAGGCCUUCGGGUUGUAAAGUACUUUCAGCGGGGAGGAAGGGAGUAAAGUUAAUACCUUUGCUCAUUGACGUUACCCGCAGAAGAAGCACCGGCUAACUCCGUGCCAGCAGCCGCGGUAAUACGGAGGGUGCAAGCGUUAAUCGGAAUUACUGGGCGUAAAGCGCACGCAGGCGGUUUGUUAAGUCAGAUGUGAAAUCCCCGGGCUCAACCUGGGAACUGCAUCUGAUACUGGCAAGCUUGAGUCUCGUAGAGGGGGGUAGAAUUCCAGGUGUAGCGGUGAAAUGCGUAGAGAUCUGGAGGAAUACCGGUGGCGAAGGCGGCCCCCUGGACGAAGACUGACGCUCAGGUGCGAAAGCGUGGGGAGCAAACAGGAUUAGAUACCCU